UGUUCUGUUUACAAGUAGCACGUGUGUUCAUUGUGUUUUCAACGUCGUUUAUUGUUGCAAAUGGACAAUCGUUUACAGAAAUAGACGAUUCUGAGUGUGUCGUGAAUAAAUCUCAGAAUGUGGACGUGAGUCAAAUACAAGUCCAUUUUUACGACCCUAUCUUGAAAGUUCACGGAUUCGUUGACACCGCAGCUGAAAGAAUCGCUCCAUUUUUGGAUAUAAAACGCAUCAAGCGCUUAGUAGUCUUCGUUCCUGGAUACAGAUCCUUCACAGGAGGAGAUACAGAACGAUGGGCGAUGGAAGCAUUCCUAAAACACUCCAAUACAUCCUUAAUUAUCAUUGACUAUUCCUACUAUACUAGAGAACCAAUCAACAAGAAAAACUAUUUGGAAGCCGUAAAAAAUUCAUACUCCAUCGGUAAAGCGAUAGGAGAGUUCUUAUCUAAGCUCCAAAAAUAUGGAUAUCCAUCUUCUAACAUCCAUUGCUUCGGCCAUAGCUUCGGAGGACAACUGCUGAGUUUCAUAUCCGAAGUAUACACAGAAAACACUAGAGAGAAAUUGUGGAGAGUAACAGGUAUAGAUCCAUCAGGAACUUGUUUUGAAGGCAGCUCUAUUGAUAACCAAAUAAGGUCUGGAAUUGGCGAUUACGUAGAAGUAUACCAUUGUAGUAAAUAUGGUACAAGUAAUGAAGUCGGAGAUAUUGACGUUAUGUUAAACCAAGGAAAAGAUAACCAACCAGGUUGUGAAGGGGGUAAACUCUUUUCCGAAGUUGGAUUUGUUGAUGCAAAUGUUUGUAGUCAUGUUAUGUGCGCUACAUUCUGGUUAAACUCUGUUGAUUGUAAGAAUUGUUAUCAGGCUUUUGAUUCCUACAAAGGUUACUUGAAAGGUGGCGAUGGUCAGACUGUGGUUGGUUAUCAAAGUUCUGGUGAUGCUUUUGGUGUAUUUUACGCUUCUACUAAUAUUUAAAUCAUUGAUGACGUAAUACUUACGAUUGUUUAAGACAUUCGGCUUAAUUCCUACGGAUUGUAGGUAUAUGUAUUGUUUCCUACAUUAAUUUAUUUUGUUUUUUGCUAUAAAAUAGUUUUUCAUUAAAUAUACUUUUUAUUUUAAACCUAGAGUUUCUAAUAACGACCUAACAAACACAAAGGUAAUUAUCAUCGUGAAAAUCGUACACAAAAACGUUAAUGUGCGGUGCUAAUCAACAUUCCUGUAACAUAUUUCAUUUCCAAGUUAUGCAAAUUAAAUAAAUAUUUGUAGACUGAAGGUAUUGUUUGUUCAACAUCUCAGUCUACAUGGUAAAUGGUU
Manduca sexta (tobacco hornworm) is the source of this 1304-nucleotide RNA transcript. RefSeq lists it as uncharacterized. The record is from RefSeq and is a predicted model, not a curated record. NCBI's taxonomy places the organism in Eukaryota, Metazoa, Arthropoda, Insecta, Lepidoptera, Sphingidae. The transcript is spliced from 2 exons.